GGAGGAAAAGAACUAACAAGGAUUCCCCUAGUAACUGCGAGUGAAGCGGGAAAAGCUCAAAUUUAAAAUCUGGCGGUCUCUGGCCGUCCGAGUUGUAAUCUAGAGAAGCAAUGCCCGCGCUGGACCGUGUACAAGUCUCCUGGAAUGGAGCGUCAUAGAGGGUGAGAAUCCCGUCUCUGACACGGACUCCCAGGGCUUUGUGGUAUGCUCUCAAAGAGUCGAGUUGUUUGGGAAUGCAGCUCAAAAUGGGUGGUAAAUUCCAUCUAAAGCUAAAUAUUGGCGAGAGACCGAUAGCGAACAAGUACCGUGAGGGAAAGAUGAAAAGAACUUUGGAAAGAGAGUUAAACAGUACGUGAAAUUGCUGAAAGGGAAACGCUUGAAGUCAGUCGCGUUGGCCGGGGAUCAGCCUCGCUUUUGCGUGGUGUACUUUCCGGUUGACGGGUCAGCAUCAAUUUUGACCACUGGAAAAAGGCUUGGGGAAUGUGGCAGCCUCGGCUGUGUUAUAGCUUCUUGUCAUAUACAGUGGUUGGGAUUGAGGUACUCAGCACGCCGCAAGGCCGGGUUUCGACCACGUUCGUGCUUAGGAUGCUGGCAUAAUGGCUUUA
This 605-nucleotide ribosomal RNA is filed under the name Leucocoprinus cf. fragilissimus PA250. RNAcentral describes it as "eukaryotic LSU rRNA". It matches the Rfam family "Eukaryotic large subunit ribosomal RNA", at positions 52 to 642 of the family's 3401-position model. Lineage: Eukaryota; Fungi; Basidiomycota; Agaricomycetes; Agaricales; Agaricaceae. The record is from RNAcentral.